RNAcentral lists this ribosomal RNA (1641 nucleotides) under Salmonella enterica. Its description in RNAcentral is "partial 23S ribosomal RNA". It matches the Rfam family "Bacterial large subunit ribosomal RNA", at positions 1179 to 2803 of the family's 2925-position model. The record is from RNAcentral. Lineage: Bacteria; Pseudomonadati; Pseudomonadota; Gammaproteobacteria; Enterobacterales; Enterobacteriaceae.
GGCUAAACCAUGCACCGAAGCUGCGGCAGCGACACUGUGUGUUGUUGGGUAGGGGAGCGUUCUGUAAGCCUGUGAAGGUGGCCUGUGAGGGUUGCUGGAGGUAUCAGAAGUGCGAAUGCUGACAUAAGUAACGAUAAAGCGGGUGAAAAGCCCGCUCGCCGGAAGACCAAGGGUUCCUGUCCAACGUUAAUCGGGGCAGGGUGAGUCGACCCCUAAGGCGAGGCCGAAAGGCGUAGUCGAUGGGAAACGGGUUAAUAUUCCCGUACUUGGUGUUACUGCGAAGGGGGGACGGAGAAGGCUAUGUUGGCCGGGCGACGGUUGUCCCGGUUUAAGCGUGUAGGUGUGUGUUCCAGGUAAAUCCGGUUCACUUUAACACUGAGGCGUGACGACGAGGCACUACGGUGCUGAAGCAACAAAUGCCCUGCUUCCAGGAAAAGCCUCUAAGCAUCAGGUAACAUCAAAUCGUACCCCAAACCGACACAGGUGGUCAGGUAGAGAAUACCAAGGCGCUUGAGAGAACUCGGGUGAAGGAACUAGGCAAAAUGGUGCCGUAACUUCGGGAGAAGGCACGCUGACACGUAGGUGAAGUGAUUUACUCACGGAGCUGAAGUCAGUCGAAGAUACCAGCUGGCUGCAACUGUUUAUUAAAAACACAGCACUGUGCAAACACGAAAGUGGACGUAUACGGUGUGACGCCUGCCCGGUGCCGGAAGGUUAAUUGAUGGGGUCAGCGCAAGCGAAGCUCCUGAUCGAAGCCCCGGUAAACGGCGGCCGUAACUAUAACGGUCCUAAGGUAGCGAAAUUCCUUGUCGGGUAAGUUCCGACCUGCACGAAUGGCGUAAUGAUGGCCAGGCUGUCUCCACCCGAGACUCAGUGAAAUUGAACUCGCUGUGAAGAUGCAGUGUACCCGCGGCAAGACGGAAAGACCCCGUGAACCUUUACUAUAGCUUGACACUGAACAUUGAGCCUUGAUGUGUAGGAUAGGUGGGAGGCUUUGAAGCGUGGACGCCAGUCUGCGUGGAGCCGACCUUGAAAUACCACCCUUUAAUGUUUGAUGUUCUAACGUGGACCCGUGAUCCGGGUUGCGGACAGUGUCUGGUGGGUAGUUUGACUGGGGCGGUCUCCUCCUAAAGAGUAACGGAGGAGCACGAAGGUUGGCUAAUCCUGGUCGGACAUCAGGAGGUUAGUGCAAUGGCAUAAGCCAGCUUGACUGCGAGCGUGACGGCGCGAGCAGGUGCGAAAGCAGGUCAUAGUGAUCCGGUGGUUCUGAAUGGAAGGGCCAUCGCUCAACGGAUAAAAGGUACUCCGGGGAUAACAGGCUGAUACCGCCCAAGAGUUCAUAUCGACGGCGGUGUUUGGCACCUCGAUGUCGGCUCAUCACAUCCUGGGGCUGAAGUAGGUCCCAAGGGUAUGGCUGUUCGCCAUUUAAAGUGGUACGCGAGCUGGGUUUAGAACGUCGUGAGACAGUUCGGUCCCUAUCUGCCGUGGGCGCUGGAGAACUGAGGGGGGCUGCUCCUAGUACGAGAGGACCGGAGUGGACGCAUCACUGGUGUUCGGGUUGUCAUGCCAAUGGCACUGCCCGGUAGCUAAAUGCGGAAGAGAUAAGUGCUGAAAGCAUCUAAGCACGAAACUUGCCCCGAG